CGCGGGGUGGAGCAGUGGUUAGCUCGUCGGGCUCAUAACCCGAAGCCCGUCGGCUCGAGUCCUACCCCCGCUA
Molecule: transfer RNA, 73 nt
Filed under: Simkaniaceae bacterium
Lineage: Bacteria; Pseudomonadati; Chlamydiota; Chlamydiia; Parachlamydiales; Simkaniaceae
Description: tRNA-Met
Rfam family: tRNA
About the family: Transfer RNA (tRNA) molecules are approximately 80 nucleotides in length.
Source: RNAcentral